UUCCUGGUGGUUCAGUGGUAAGGACUUGGUGCUUCCACUACAAGGGGCACGGGUUUGAUCCCUGUUUGGGAAA
This 73-nucleotide transfer RNA is filed under the name Bos taurus (domestic cattle). It matches the Rfam family "tRNA". From Rfam's summary of the family: Transfer RNA (tRNA) molecules are approximately 80 nucleotides in length. Their secondary structure includes four short double-helical elements and three loops (D, anti-codon, and T loops). Lineage: Eukaryota; Metazoa; Chordata; Mammalia; Artiodactyla; Bovidae. RNAcentral also lists the same sequence under 4 other names. The record is from Rfam by way of RNAcentral.